This 404-nucleotide unclassified non-coding RNA is filed under the name Hevea brasiliensis (rubber tree). The record is from RNAcentral. Lineage: Eukaryota; Viridiplantae; Streptophyta; Magnoliopsida; Malpighiales; Euphorbiaceae.
GAAGAAUUUCAUCAAUAUAGCUAAUUCACUAGAAGGUUGUAUCAGUGAAUAUCUGAACUGUGUCGAAUAUAAGAGGAUCCCUUCAAAAAUUCUUACCUACCAAGUGGCUGAUGAUCCAGUUUACAAUGGCUACAGAUCAGCAGUAGAAUCUAUAAGCCAAGAGGAAGCUCUGGAAGCAUUUGCAGUCUGGGAGCCACCCCAUGGUCCAUACAAGAUGAUUAAAUAUCCUUGGAAAAACUAUGUCAAAGUUAGUGGUGCAUUAAGGUAUUGCGCUUUCAUGGUUAUGGCACUGCAUGGAUGUAUACUGUCUGAAAUACAGGCACCUGCCGAAAGAAGACAGGUUUUUCGUAAUGAGCUUCAGAGAGUAGGUACAGCAAGUGCCAAAGUGUUGAGAGAACUGGGGG